GGCUUUUCAAUUUUUUCAAACCAGAAAAGAAAAACUGGUUUCUCCGACGCUGGUUAGGAGUUGGAGCCCUAGCUUUCUUCCACUAAGAGCAGCGUACACGUACACUCCAACCUUCAAAUCUUGGUUGUCCACUCACCGCUUGCCCCAGCAACACACGGUUAUUGCUUCUCCUCCAUUCAGGUAAUGCUGCACUCUUCUCUUCUCUGUUUGGCCUCUUAAGUUCAACGGAAGCGUAUCCAACUUUUUGAUGCAAAUUUCUAUGUUGGUUUGUUGUAUUUUCCCGAGAAAUUGAGAAUCAAAUGGAGGUUACAAUUUCAUUUCUCAGCAAUUUAACAUCUUUUCAUUACCAUUUUUUCAAUUUCAGAUAGUUGAACUCUCGAUUGAGCUGUCUCUGCCUUCUGGACAGUGCUUCUGUGUGUUUUAUUUGGGGGUCUAUUUGAGAAAUGAAUUUGAAGCGGUUAGUUAAUAGUCGAACUGUAAACUACGUAUCAAGGUUCAAUGGAAGAUUGCUGUAUAUGUACCCAUAUUGUAUUAGCAGAGAUUUCUCUGCCAUUUCAGCCUCUGCCCCUCCUUCCAUUUAUUCCUCAAGCAUUGAUGACCGAACUCUUGCCCAUAGCCCUAAUUUCUCAAAACAUAAUUUUCUCUUUAAGAGAUGCUUGCACUCUGCUCAACAAACUACGCUAAGAGAAUUGAGCUUUAAGCCAAAAUUCAAUUUUAAAGAUUCUGAAGAGGAUGAUGGAACCAUGAAUGAGUUCUUAUCACGAUUUGUGUGGAUAAUGCGUGGGAAGUUAUCUGAAGUGUAUGUAGAUUGUGAUAAACAGACAAUUGACAGUAUGCUUUUAAUUAUAGUUGAUAAAGUUGUGUCGGAGUUGGAAAAGGGUAGCCUAGAGCGGAUGCUUGGUGCCACAGUGGCCAUCCCAUCAGAGGAUUUCAGUGAGGAUUUGUGGAAAACAGUGUGGGAAGUGAGUAAUUCAGUGCUGGAGGAUAUGGAAAAGGAAAGGAAGAAGGAAAAGAUGAAGGGUUUUUUGCAGUCUGAGGAGGUAAAGGGAAUGUGCAGGUUUGCUGGUGAGAUUGGUAUCCGUGCGGACAUGCUGAGAGAGCUCAGAUUCAAAUGGGCUCGUGAAAAGAUGGAAGAGAGUGAGUUUUAUGCGAGUUUGGAGAAACUUAGAGAAGAAGAAAGAGCCCAAGAAAAAGAGGAAACAGAUGGCAAGAAUGCUGAGACCAUGAGUGAAAUGGCUAUAAUGGGUGAGGAGAAACCAAAGUUCAUAUCCCUUCCUAAGAGACAUGGAAAGAUUAGAUACAAGAUUUAUGGACUUGAUCUUUCUGAUCCAAAGUGGGCUCAAGCUGCUGAGACGAUUAUUUCGUCCGAGGAACCUAAGCCAAUACAUGGUAAAAGUAAAUUGGUCACUGAGAAAAUUCUUUCACUGAGAGAGGGGGAUGACCCUUCCCCACUGCUGGCUGAAUGGGUAGAGCUUCUACAACCUAGCAGGGUUGAUUGGUUGACUUUGCUUGAUAAGUUGAAAGAAAAGAAUAUGUCCUUAUAUUUUAAGGUAGCUGAAAUUUUGUUGAGUGAAAAAUCUUACCAACCAAAUGUUCAUGACUAUUAUGUGCUCAUUGAUUCCCAUGCUGAAAAGAACUGCUUAGAAGAUAUUGAGAGGAUUCUUAAGAAAAUGAAUGAAAAUGGUAUUCAACCUGAUAUUUUAAUAGCCAAAGCUUUAGCGCACUUGCACUGCAAGGCAGGCAAUCCAGACCGUGCUAAAGCAAUAUUCGAAGGCCUGAGGAGCAAUGGUUUCAAACAGGAUAUGACGGUCUACAAUACAAUGAUCAUGGCAUAUGUUAAUGCUGGCCAACCCAAGUUGGGUGAGUCAUUGAUGAGGGAGAUGGAGGCGGAAGACAUGAAACCUACAGAGGAGAUUUGCAUGGCAUUGCUUCGCUCAUUUGCACAACGUGGUGAUGUUGGUGGAGCUGGUCGAAUUGCAACGACCAUGCAGUUUGCUGGAUUUCAGCCAAAUUUGGAGUCUUGUGCAUUGCUUGUUGAAGCACAUGCACAAGCAGGUGAUCCUGAUCAGGCGAGGAGCAAUUUUAACUAUAUGAUAAAAGUUGGACAUAGGCCUGAUGACAGGUGCACUGCUAUCAUGAUUGCAGCUUAUGAGAAGAAGAAUUGGUUGGAUAAGGCCUUAGACCUUUUGUUGCAACUUGAGAAGGAUGGGUUUGAGCCAGGACCUGCUACUUGCACUGUUCUUGUUGAUUGGUUGGGUAAAUUGCAGUUGGUUGAUGAGGCUGAGCAAUUAUUGGGUAAGAUUUCUGAGCAGGGUGAAACUCCUACUUUUAAGAUUCAUAUAAGCCUAUGUGAUAUGUAUGCAAGAGCUGGAAUUGAGAAAAAGGCUCUUCAAGCCCUGGGGGUUCUGGAAUCUAAGAAGGAGCAGUUGGGAUUGGAUGAUUUUGAGAGGGUUAUAUAUGGGCUUAUUGCAGUAGGUUUUGUGCAGGAUGCUUAUAGGUUCCAUGGGCUGAUGGAGGCUCAGGGCUUCACUGCGUCAGAGCAUCUAAAGGUGGCCUUAAUGGCAUCCCAAGCUUUCAGCCGCAGGUGACCAACAAUGUUAUAGUUUGGCAAUCAUGAUUCCCAAUCCUUUGGUUGCCAGAGAUAAUCAAGAAAAAUGGUUUGGUAGUUGUCUGCAGAAUUAAAUAUACUUCAUAAGGGAAUGUGAUUGACAAAAGAGCAACAGGUAACCUCUUCAAUGCCUUACCAUCUCAAGCCUCACAAGUAAGUUUUGCCAUGAUUUUUACGGUCAUGUUGUUUUAAGGCAUAAACUUGUUUUAGUAAUUAUGCUGUGACCAUUUGUAAUAAUUAUUUGAAAGAGCUAGGUUGUUUUAUUGCGUAUUAGCUGAACAUAUGGUUUUGAGCGUAAAUUUAUAUCUUUACGUGUUGGAUGCCCCAACUCCCUUCAUCUCUUCCACACAUGAUUCAUAUCUGCAUGCACACUCACAGACUUUAAGCACAUAAUUCAAAUUUUCCUUUAUUGAUCUUAUGUUUUCUUGGGUUGGCAUCACAGACUUGCAAGCAUGGGCAUGUGUGAGCAUAUCACGCACUUACAUUCAUAUUUUUGCAUACUUCAUAAUUCAUAUUUGAGAAAAUAUGGUCCCAACAUGUUUUAGAAACCAAAUUUAUCCCUUGCUUCUAUUUGGAAUUUAGAGUAUAAAUCAAAAUCAUGAUGCAACGCAAUUUUAGGGAAUAUUAACCCUUGGACAAGGUUGCUUUCAGAUAGAGACAUUAUUACAAUUUAAUAGUAUUCUCCUAUAGUAAAUUAUAGGGAAUAUUAACCCUUUAAUAGUAUUUUUAUACUACACAUUAUAAAUUGAAUUUAGUAGCAAAAUUGCUUCAAUUUUAUUUUUUAAACAUUGUAGAAAACCUACAUCCUUGACAGCUUCAUAUACCGUGUUGUUGGUGUGGCACCAGAGCCAAGACAUAGUGUUUACCUCUCCCUUUGUCAUUAUCAGCCACUGUUAAAUCCUCCAUUCCCUUCUCUGGCAUGGGAGAUGAGUUGACACAUCCAACUCAAUUCAACUCAACUAAGCGCAUAUAUAUUCUCUUUCUCCAUUCUAUGAUUUUGGGAUAAAUCCUAAAAAAUACUUAAUGCUUCUAGGUCAUGUUGUGCUACUAUGUUGUACUACUAUUCUUCAAGUGAGUUUAGGUCAUAAAAUAAGAUGAUUAACAUAAAAUAUGAACAGAGCCAAAGUAAGAUGAUUAGCAUAUACAGUACACCAAAAUCAUGAUCUGAGUAGAAUGUAGAAGUAAUUCACAUUUGCUGCUUCCCGGGAAGUUUUGUCAAAAGGGACUGUAAGCUAUCAAGCCUCGUUCCUAAUAUUGUAAUCUUCCUCCUUAUAGCAGAUGCAUGACGCUGUGUUUCGGGCCCUGAUGCUGGAAAAGAACUCCUUUCUGCAAUCAUACCAUUGAUAUCCUCUGCAAGCUUUGCAGCUUCAUUAUGUUCCUUCAUCCAUGGGUCUGUAGAUGAUGCCAUUUUACCUAAAUGAUAACUUAGCUAAUCAACAGAUAAUCUUAAUAAAUAUCAAUUCAAGGUGAUUUGGAAAAAAACAAAAUGAAGCUCAAUUUCUAUAGCACCUUGUCCAAUUGCCGUAAAACGUAAUUUUAUUUCGUUCUCUAAUUUCCUCUAUGUUCUCAAAGAUCUUAAGAAUUACAGCUUAAAAUGUAACAAAUACUAGCGGAUCUCAAAAUCUUCUCCAAUAUAAAGCCAAACCAUAGUUAUCUAAAAAUUUCACAACAUCAAUUUCGACCAAAAUUUACAAAUUUCCAAAAACUAACCAAAUAAGGAGGAAAAAAUCAAUCGCAAAACCCAAAAAUUGAGACCAUAUCCACCUCUUGAUAAGCUUAACAGAUAAAAUAUUAAAUAAUUCUGUUGCUCAUAAAAACGCAUAAAAAAAAAACCUAAAGAUUUUGUCGAAUUCAGCAUAAACACGAUCGGAUUACAACUUUAC
This 4491-nucleotide unclassified non-coding RNA is filed under the name Hevea brasiliensis (rubber tree). The record is from RNAcentral. Lineage: Eukaryota; Viridiplantae; Streptophyta; Magnoliopsida; Malpighiales; Euphorbiaceae.